Molecule: ribosomal RNA, 494 nt
Filed under: uncultured bacterium
Lineage: Bacteria
Description: bacterial SSU rRNA
Rfam family: Bacterial small subunit ribosomal RNA
Source: RNAcentral
GAUGAACGCUAGCGGCAGGCUUAACACAUGCAAGUCGAGGGGUAACAGGAAAAGCUUGCUUUUUUGCUGACGACCGGCGCACGGGUGCGUAACGCGUAUACAAUCUACCUUUUACAGGGGGAUAGCCUUUAGAAAUGAAGAUUAAUACCCCAUAGUAUCUAUGAAUCGCAUGGUUUAUGGAUUAAAAUUUCGGUGGUAAGAGAUGAGUAUGCGUCCUAUUAGCUAGUUGGUAUGGUAACGGCAUACCAAGGCGACGAUAGGUAGGGGCCCUGAGAGGGGGAUCCCCCACACUGGUACUGAGACACGGACCAGACUCCUACGGGAGGCAGCAGUGAGGAAUAUUGGACAAUGGGCGCAAGCCUGAUCCAGCCAUGCCGCGUGCAGGAAGACUGCCCUAUGGGUUGUAAACUGCUUUUAUAUGGGAAGAAACCCAGAUACGUGUAUCUGGCUGACGGUACCAUAAGAAUAAGCAUCGGCUAACUCCGUGCCAGCAG